RNAcentral lists this transfer RNA (72 nucleotides) under Bos taurus (domestic cattle). It matches the Rfam family "tRNA". From Rfam's summary of the family: Transfer RNA (tRNA) molecules are approximately 80 nucleotides in length. Their secondary structure includes four short double-helical elements and three loops (D, anti-codon, and T loops). Further hydrogen bonds mediate the characteristic L-shaped molecular structure. tRNAs have two regions of fundamental functional importance: the anti-codon, which is responsible for specific mRNA codon recognition, and the 3' end, to which the tRNAs corresponding amino acid is attached (by aminoacyl-tRNA synthetases). tRNAs cope with the degeneracy of the genetic code in two manners: having more than one tRNA (with a specific anti-codon) for a particular amino acid; and 'wobble' base-pairing, i.e. permitting non-standard base-pairing at the 3rd anti-codon position. RNAcentral also lists the same sequence under 4 other names. Lineage: Eukaryota; Metazoa; Chordata; Mammalia; Artiodactyla; Bovidae. The record is from Rfam by way of RNAcentral.
UCCCUGGUGACUCAGAUGGUAAAGUGUCUGCCUACAAUGCAGGAGACCCAGGUUCAAUCCCUGGGUUGGAAA